GUAAGACAGACGUGAAAUCCCGGGCUAACCUGGGAACUGCGUUUGUGACUGCAAUGCUAGAGUAUGGCAGAGGGGGGUAGAAUUCCACGUGUAGCAGUGAAAUGCGUAGAGAUGCUGGAGGAAUACCGAUGGCGAAGGCAGCCCCCUGAGGUCAGUACUGACGCUCAUGCACGAAAGCGUGGGGAGCAAACAGGAUUAGAUACCCUGGUAGUCCACGCCCUUAAACGAUGUCAACUACGUUUUGGGGGAGGAGACUUCCUUAGUACCGCAACUAACGCGUGAAUUUGACCGCCUGGGGAGUACGGCCGCAGGGUUGAUACCUCAGAGGAAUUGACGGGGCACCCGCACAAGCGGAGGAUGAUGUGGUUUAAUACGAUGCACCGCGAAAAUACCUUAGCCAUCUUUGAGAUGUAUGGAAGAUCGCAGAGACGCGAUUGUGCUCGAAAGAGAGCCAUAGCGCAGGUUCUGCAUGGCUGUCGUCAGCUCGUGUCCGUGAGAUGUUGGGUUAAGUCCCGCAAACGAGCGCAACCCUUGUCAUUAGUUGCUACAUUUAGUUGGGCACUCUAAUGAGACUGCCGGUGACAAACCGGAGGAAGGUGGGGAUGGUCAAGUCAUCAUGGCC
Molecule: ribosomal RNA, 622 nt
Filed under: uncultured Burkholderiales bacterium
Lineage: Bacteria; Pseudomonadati; Pseudomonadota; Betaproteobacteria; Burkholderiales
Description: bacterial SSU rRNA
Rfam family: Bacterial small subunit ribosomal RNA
Source: RNAcentral